RNAcentral lists this long non-coding RNA (747 nucleotides) under Cavia porcellus (domestic guinea pig). Its description in RNAcentral is "lncRNA (ENSCPOG00000038126.1)". Lineage: Eukaryota; Metazoa; Chordata; Mammalia; Rodentia; Caviidae. The record is from RNAcentral.
UCAAAGUGUGCCCGAAGCCUGUGGGAAGCCUGCUGGGAAGUCACCUGCUAAACGGCCCCUGGGCAGUAACCUCAGCCAAAGGACUUCCACUGGCCUCGCUAGAGAGUUAAGAUGGUGACUGACAAGCUUCAGACUGUAAUUAAGUCCUGGUUAAUUGAAAAUAUUGCAGCAGAAAUUCUCCAAGGGAGCUGCAGGGUGGAGGAAGAAGAGGACAAAGCCCACUAGAGUGGUUGAAGGCCAGCAACUGCCGGUGUUCAGCGUCCUUUUUUGGUAAACUACACUUUCUUUGCUAUGGGAAAGUGGACAGAAGGGUCAGUGCUCCUGGACUUAGCCUAAUUUGAGACUUGGUCUUAACCUGGGCCCACUUCUCCCAAGUACUUGUGCCAAGGUUUUCUGCUAGGCCUCAUCCCACACUUGGGAGAGUGCGGCCAACAAGCGUGACGGAGUUCAGCCUGCGCCUCUGCAAACGGGGACCCCGCUGCCUUUGUCGGCAUAGUUCUCCUCCCAUACACACGAGUGUCCUGCGCAGCUCCUUUCCGGCCAGCUCACUCUCAGGAGCUCAGCCUCCACAUGGAGGGACCUGCAGAUGGGAAGGAGAACCCUGCCAGGUCCACGGGGCUGUGAUGGUGAGUUUCCUUUCAUUUUGGUUGGACAAUUUCCUCACUGUGGUCAGCAGGCAGGCAAGAAGAACGUGGAACAACCUGUACAGUAACUCUCAUCCUUGUUCUUUUGAGGACCAAAAGCCAC